Molecule: non-coding RNA, 1842 nt
Organism: Oncorhynchus mykiss (rainbow trout)
Lineage: Eukaryota; Metazoa; Chordata; Actinopteri; Salmoniformes; Salmonidae
Source: RefSeq, a predicted model, not a curated record
UAAUUGUAUUUAUGUGUGCAGAGGUAAUUGUGGUUAUGUGUGCAGAGGUAAUUGUGUUUAUAUGUGUGCAGAGGUAAUUGUGUUUAUGUGUGCAGAGGUAAUUGUGUUUAUGUGUGCAGAGGUAAUUGUGUUUAUAUGUGCAGAGGUAAUUGUGUUUAUAUGUGCAGAGGUAAUGCAGAGGUAAUUGUGUUUAUGUGUGCAGAGGUAAUGCAGAGGUAAUUGUGGUUAUGUGUGCAGAGGUAAUUGUGUUUAUGUGUGCAGAGGUAAUGCAGAGGUAAUUGUGGUUAUGUGUGCAGAGGUAAUGCAGAGGUAAUUGUGGUUAUGUGUGCAGAGGUAAUUGUGUUUAUAUGUGCAGAGGUAAUUGUGUUUAUAUGUGCAGAGGUAAUGCAGAGGUAAUUGUGUUUAUGUGUGCAGAGGUAAUGCAGAGGUAAUUGUGGUUAUGUGUGCAGAGGUAAUUGUGUUUAUGUGUGCAGAGGUAAUGCAGAGGUAAUUGUGGUUAUGUGUGCAGAGGUAAUGCAGAGGUAAUUGUGUUUAUGUGUGCAGAGGUAAUUGUGGUUAUGUGUGCAGAGGUAAUUGUGUUUAUGUGUGCAGAGGUAAUUGUGUUUAUGUGUGCAGAGGUAAUUGUGUUUAUGUGUGCAGAGGUAAUGCCGAGGUAAUUGUGGUUAUGUGUGCAGAGGUAAUUGUGGUUAUGUGUGCAGAGGUAAUUGUGGUUAUGUGUGCAGAGGUAAUUGUGGUUAUGUGUGCAGAGGUAAUGCAGAGGUAAUUGUGGUUAUGUGUGCAGAGGUAAUUGUGUUUAUGUGUGCAGAGGUAAUUGUGUUUAUGUGUGCAGAGGUAAUGCAGAGGUAAUUGUGGUUAUGUGUGCAGAGGUAAUUGUGGUUAUGUGUGCAGAGGUAAUGCAGAGGUAAUUGUGUUUAUGUGUGCAGAGGUAAUGCAGAGGUAAUUGUGUUUAUGUGUGCAGAGGUAAUGCAGAGGUAAUUGUGGUUAUGUGUGCAGAGGUAAUUGUGGUUAUGUGUGCAGAGGUAAUUGUGGUUAUGUGUGCAGAGGUAAUUGUGGUUAUGUGUGCAGAGGUAAUUGUGGUUAUGUGUGCAGAGGUAAUUGUGGUUAUGUGUGCAGAGGUAAUUGUGGUUAUGUGUGCAGAGGUAAUUGUGUUUAUAUGUGUGCAGAGGUAAUUGUGUUUAUGUGUGCAGAGGUAAUGCAGAGGUAAUUGUGGUUAUGUGUGCAGAGGUAAUUGUGGUUAUGUGUGCAGAGGUAAUUGUGGUUAUGUGUGCAGAGGUAAUGCAGAGGUAAUUGUGUUUAUGUGUGCAGAGGUAAUUGUGUUUAUAUGUGUGGGAGUUAUCUUUCAUAAUGAAUGCCUAACCUCCAUACUAAUGAUCUGUCAUUACACAGAGAAUGAAACAACUUCCUACAAGAGAAAGUCUGAUUCUGACUGGAUGUUUCUCCUCUACCCACCAGUAGUUUGCUAACUGCUUUUCUGACUGCGUUGUCAUACUGAGGGUGUCAGUGCACCAAACAUGUUGCAUGAAUAACAGUUUCUGUGCACCACACAGGACUAUGCAUAACAGAUUGGGGUUCACUCCAUUGUUUUGAUACACUCAUUAUAUUAAUACUCUGCAGGCUUUGCUGUAAAGCUAGCAGGUAGCAUGCUACACCCAAAGAACCCUGGUAUUGGGGGAGGAGGGAAGGUGAGGGUGUGAGGUCAGAUGAUUGUGCAACUUGUAGCUCAUAUUGUAACUUCAGGUUUUUGGGAGAUUGUCUAAUAUUCCUGAUAGGGCAAAUCGAACUAACCCAAUUCUGACUGGGAAGCUAUCACUGAUAAUGAUCACUGUUAUGCACUAUGCUCCC